This 508-nucleotide ribosomal RNA is filed under the name uncultured bacterium. RNAcentral describes it as "bacterial SSU rRNA". It matches the Rfam family "Bacterial small subunit ribosomal RNA", at positions 18 to 518 of the family's 1533-position model. The record is from RNAcentral.
UCUGGCUCAGGAUGAACGCUAGCGACAGGCUUAACACAUGCAAGUCGAGGGGCAGCAUAGAAGUAGCAAUACUUGGUGGCGACCGGCGCACGGGUGAGUAACGCGUAUGCAACCUACCUAUCAGAGGGGAAUAACCCGGCGAAAGUCGGACUAAUACCGCAUAAAACAGGGGCACCGCAUGGUGAUAUUUGUUAAAGAAAUUCGCUGAUAGAUGGGCAUGCGUUCCAUUAGGUAGUUGGUGAGGUAACGGCUCACCAAGCCGACGAUGGAUAGGGGAACUGAGAGGUUGGUCCCCCACACUGGUACUGAGACACGGACCAGACUCCUACGGGAGGCAGCAGUGAGGAAUAUUGGUCAAUGGGCGGGAGCCUGAACCAGCCAAAGUCGCGUGAAGGAAGAAGGAUCUAUGGUUCGUAAACUUCUUUUGCAGGGGAAUAAAGUGCGGGACGUGUCCUGUUUUGUAUGUACCCUGAGAAUAAGGAUCGGCUAACUCCGUGCCAGCCGCGGC